GGGGCUGUCUGCUAGCUUGGUAGGCUACAACCUUGGGGUGGUUGCGACCCCGGUUCAAAUCCGGGCAGCCCCA
This 73-nucleotide transfer RNA is filed under the name Candidatus Woesearchaeota archaeon ex4484_78. Its description in RNAcentral is "tRNA-Pro". It matches the Rfam family "tRNA". From Rfam's summary of the family: Transfer RNA (tRNA) molecules are approximately 80 nucleotides in length. Their secondary structure includes four short double-helical elements and three loops (D, anti-codon, and T loops). The record is from RNAcentral. RNAcentral also lists the same sequence under 1 other name. Lineage: Archaea; Nanobdellati; Candidatus Woesearchaeota.